Molecule: unclassified non-coding RNA, 316 nt
Filed under: fungal sp.
Lineage: Eukaryota; Fungi
Description: partial internal transcribed spacer region
Rfam family: Eukaryotic small subunit ribosomal RNA (bases 1-45)
Source: RNAcentral
AGUCGUAACAAGGUUUCCGUAGGUGAACCUGCGGAAGGAUCAUUGUCGAUGCCUUACAUGCAGUCCAACACGUGAAUCAGUUUGAAUACAUAUGGUUGGCUUGAGGUGUUCUACACCUCGGCUUACCUCUUGGUUCAGAGGAAGACGACGAAGUGCGUCCUCCUUUGUGCCAAAACUCAAACCCCGACGCUGAAUGCGUCAAGGAAUUUAAAUUUUGCUCUGAGCACACCUGCAUGGCACCGGAGACGGUUUUCGUGCGUGUUGUGUUUUGACACAUGAUAUAGAAUGACUCUCGGCAACGGAUAUCUAGGCUCUU